Molecule: long non-coding RNA, 1165 nt
Filed under: Citrus sinensis (sweet orange)
Lineage: Eukaryota; Viridiplantae; Streptophyta; Magnoliopsida; Sapindales; Rutaceae
Description: long non-coding RNA (CSIN_LNC002556)
Source: RNAcentral
CUUUCCCUCUGCUCAUACAUCCAGCCAUUAGGUGAUCCAACUUUCCUGCUGUCCAUGAGAGGAUCUCUACCCCUUUUCCGCCUUUUGGGCUUUUGAUAACCAAGGGCAGGCACCACUGUCAAAGGCACAACGUUGAUGAUCAGAAGCUCAAUAGGUUUAGCUGAGCUGUAACCUUCCUUUAUUUUGUUCUUCUGCAAAAUGCAAAGAAAAUACGUAAGCACUGAAAUAACUGAGUAAUCAAGGUGAGAAUAAAAGUGAAAAAAAAUAUUUUUAUUCCUUAGUCGUUUGUUCUUUGGCAACACUCUCUUGUGCUCUACUUUUCUUUGGUUCUUUUCUGUUGAUAAUAUAUUUCUCUAAAAGGUUACUGUUGCAGAACAGUUUUUGAAAGAAUACGAGUAAUGCUAGCUCUACCCGAAACCCCCAAUCGAAAAGGCACUUGAGAUCCUAGUCUUCUAACGAAAUUUGAAACUACAAUUGUUUUUCUUAGUGUAAUUACUAUAUUCUUGAAAAUUUUAAUUAUAAAAACAUCGUAUAUAGAACUCAAAAUAUUUUCUUGACUAUUAAAAAUUAGGAAUAAUUGCUGAGACAACAACAACAUACCGCAUCGUGAGUUCCAUCUCUUGCUACACUUGAUGGACGAGGCUGCAAUUGACAAUUAUACUUCAAUUAGUAUACAUGUGAAGCUAAAUAAGUCCACAAUAGUAAACUAAUUGCCUGAAGGUGAAUCGAAAAUAAGGAGAUUUGCAUCAAGAGAUAUUAUAGCGUUCAAUAAGUUACAAAAGGGUUUAAGUUAGAAAAUAUUUGAAAAUGAGAAACAGAAAAUCACUAUGACUAUGAAGAUACUUAAUGAACAACAACCACAUAAAUAAUUUUAGAAUUUUUUCUUAAUAAACCCUAAUUUUAAAUCUUUUCUCCACUAAAUGAUGAUCUCAUUAGGUUAGUUCCCAACCUUUUACAAACUGUACAUUUGUUGAACUAUAAAAUGUUAAUUAAGCAAAAUAAUAUCAGAUCUGUGCCUCAAGCCAUCAAAUUUUUUGAGUAUCUUAUGGGAUCAAAAUAUAGCAGUAAGGACAUUAUAAGCUAAAUUAAUUACCGUAUCCAUAUUUUGUUGAGAAACCACUGGCGGCACCGAUGAGGCCGCCAUGUUGAAGUCUUUUAAAUUGUC